UACGAAGGGGGCUAGCGUUGUUCGGAAUUACUGGGCGUAAAGCGCACGUAGGCGGGUUGUUAAGUCAGGGGUGAAAUCCUGGAGCUCAACUCCAGAACUGCCUUUGAUACUGGCAACCUAGAGACUGGAAGAGGUUAGUGGAAUUCCCAGUGUAGAGGUGAAAUUCGUAGAUAUUGGGAAGAACACCAGUGGCGAAGGCGGCUAACUGGUCCAGCACUGACGCUGAGGAGCGAAAGCCAGGGGAGCAAACGGG
This 253-nucleotide ribosomal RNA is filed under the name uncultured bacterium. Its description in RNAcentral is "partial 16S ribosomal RNA". It matches the Rfam family "Bacterial small subunit ribosomal RNA", at positions 524 to 776 of the family's 1533-position model. The record is from RNAcentral.